This 863-nucleotide ribosomal RNA is filed under the name Rhizocybe pruinosa. RNAcentral's name for it is "eukaryotic LSU rRNA". It matches the Rfam family "Eukaryotic large subunit ribosomal RNA", at positions 79 to 921 of the family's 3401-position model. The record is from RNAcentral. Lineage: Eukaryota; Fungi; Basidiomycota; Agaricomycetes; Agaricales; Tricholomataceae.
CCUAGUAACUGCGAGUGAAGCGGGAAAAGCUCAAAUUUAAAAUCUGGUAGCCUCUAGGUUAUCCGAGUUGUAAUCUAGAGAAGCGUUGUCCGCGCUGGACCGUGUACAAGUCUCCUGGAAUGGAGCAUCAUAGAGGGUGAGAAUCCCGUCUUUGACACGGACUACCAGGGCUUUGUGAUGCGCUCUCAAAGAGUCGAGUUGUUUGGGAAUGCAGCUCUAAAUGGGUGGUAAAUUCCAUCUAAAGCUAAAUAUUGGCGAGAGACCGAUAGCGAACAAGUACCGUGAGGGAAAGAUGAAAAGAACUUUGGAAAGAGAGUUAAACAGUACGUGAAAUUGUUGAAAGGGAAACGCUUGAAGUCAGUCGCGUUGUUCUGGGAUCAGCCUUGCUAUCUUGCUUGGUUUACUCCCUGGGCAAUGGGUCAGCAUCAAUUUUGACUGGUGGACAAAGGCCAGGGGAAUGUGGCAUCUUCGGAUGUGUUAAAGCCCUUGGUUGCAUACAUUGGUUGGGAUUGAGGAACUCAGCACGCCGAAAGGCCGGGUUUAUUUAAACCACGUUCGUGCUUAGGAUGCUGGCAUAAUGGCUUUAAUCGACCCGUCUUGAAACACGGACCAAGGAGUCUAACAUGCCUGCGAGUGUUUGGGUGGCAAACCCGAGCGCGUAAUGAAAGUGAUAAGUUGAGAUCCCUGUCGUGGGGAGCAUUGACGCCCAGACCAGACCUUUUGUGACGGAUCUGCGGUAGAGCAUGUAUGUUGGGACCCGAAAGAUGGUGAACUAUGCCUGAAUAGGGUGAAGCCAGAGGAAACUCUGGUGGAGGCUCGUAGCGAUUCUGACGUGCAAAUCGAUCGUCGAAUUUGGGUAUAGG